This 444-nucleotide long non-coding RNA is filed under the name Setaria viridis. RNAcentral describes it as "long non-coding RNA (SVIR_LNC002251)". Lineage: Eukaryota; Viridiplantae; Streptophyta; Magnoliopsida; Poales; Poaceae. The record is from RNAcentral.
CUGAGCUCGGCCUUCUCUUUCUCGAGCUGGGCGUUCUCGCAGCACAUGUCACUGCAGCCCCUCAUUGCUUGGUUCAGGUCGUCAAGGAGGCGGCGGUUGGCGCCACGGAGGUGAACGACCUGCGCCCACAGCUCAGUGAGCUGCCGCUGCUUGCGCAUGCGCGACCGCCUGGCGGACUCCCGGUUGGAGACCAUCCUCCGCCGCCUCCGCUCAUCCUCUGCCAUCACCAUGCGGCCGCCGUAUGCAUCCUCGGCACUGCCAGAGCCGGCUGGACUGUUGCUGACGACAGCCGGUGCUUCGUGGAUAGGUUCAAAGGUAGAAGGCGAGAAGUGGAAGGGAGUGGGCGGCAUCGCGAUCAUGUUGCUGUGGCAGUGAGCGUGGAAUGCUGGGUUUGGAGAUGAGAGGCAGUGAAGGUUGGCCAUGGCCACUGCUCCAUGGUAAUGG